GCGAGCCCACCUCCCACCCGUGUUUACUGUACCUUAGUUGCUUCGGCGGGCCCGCCAUUCAUGGCCGCCGGGGGCUCUCAGCCCCGGGCCCGCGCCCGCCGGAGACACCACGAACUCUGUCUGAUCUAGUGAAGUCUGAGUUGAUUGUAUCGCAAUCAGUUAAAACUUUCAACAAUGGAUCUCUUGGUUCCGGCAUCGAUGAAGAACGCAGCGAAAUGCGAUAACUAGUGUGAAUUGCAGAAUUCCGUGAAUCAUCGAGUCUUUGAACGCACAUUGCGCCCCCUGGUAUUCCGGGGGGCAUGCCUGUCCGAGCGUCAUUGCUGCCCAUCAAGCACGGCUUGUGUGUUGGGUCGUCGUCCCCUCUCCGGGGGGGACGGGCCCCAAAGGCAGCGGCGGCACCGCGUCCGAUCCUCGAGCGUAUGGGGCUUUGUCACCCGCUCUGUAGGCCCGGCCGGCGCUUGCCGAACGCAAAUCAAUCUUUUCCAGGUUGACCUCGGAUCAGGUAGGGAUACCCGCUGAACUUAAGCAUAUC
This 532-nucleotide ribosomal RNA is filed under the name Aspergillus flavus. Its description in RNAcentral is "eukaryotic LSU rRNA". The stretch from base 164 to 317 matches the Rfam family "5.8S ribosomal RNA". Lineage: Eukaryota; Fungi; Ascomycota; Eurotiomycetes; Eurotiales; Aspergillaceae. The record is from RNAcentral. RNAcentral also lists the same sequence under 1 other name.